This 373-nucleotide ribosomal RNA is filed under the name uncultured microorganism. Its description in RNAcentral is "bacterial SSU rRNA". It matches the Rfam family "Bacterial small subunit ribosomal RNA", at positions 9 to 377 of the family's 1533-position model. The record is from RNAcentral.
GAGUUUGAUCAUGGCUCAGAUUGAACGCUGGCGGCAUGCCUUACACAUGCAAGUCGAACGGCAGCAUGAUCUAGCUUGCUAGAUUGAUGGCGAGUGGCGAACGGGUGAGUAAUACGAUCGGAACGUGCCCUGUAGUGGGGGAUAACUAGUCGAAAGAUUAGCUAAUACCGCAUACGACCUGAGGGUGAAAGUGGGGGACCGCAAGGCCUCAUGCUAUAGGAGCGGCCGAUGUCUGAUUAGCUAGUUGGUGGGGUAAAGGCCCACCAAGGCGACGAUCAGUAGCUGGUCUGAGAGGACGAUCAGCCACACUGGGACUGAGACACGGCCCAGACUCCUACGGGAGGCAGCAGUGGGGAAUUUUGGACAAUGGGCG